RNAcentral lists this ribosomal RNA (468 nucleotides) under uncultured bacterium. Its description in RNAcentral is "partial 16S ribosomal RNA". It matches the Rfam family "Bacterial small subunit ribosomal RNA", at positions 28 to 507 of the family's 1533-position model. The record is from RNAcentral.
GACGAACGCUGGCGGCGUGCUUAACACAUGCCAGUCGAACGGAAAGGCCCUGCUUUUGUGGGGUGCUCGAGUGGCGAACGGGUGAGUAACACGUGAGUAACCUGCCCUUGACUUUGGGAUAACUUCAGGAAACUGGGGCUAAUACCGGAUAGGAGCUCCUGCUGCAUGGUGGGGGUUGGAAAGUUUCGGCGGUUGGGGAUGGACUCGCGGCUUAUCAGCUUGUUGGUGGGGUAGUGGCUUACCAAGGCUUUGACGGGUAGCCGGCCUGAGAGGGUGACCGGCCACAUUGGGACUGAGAUACGGCCCAGAAUCCUACGGGAGGCAGCAGUGGGGAAUAUUGCAAAAUGGGCGGAAGCCUGAUGCAGCAACGCCGCGUGCGGGAUGACGGCCUUCGGGUUGUAAACCGCUUUCGCCUGUGACGAAGCGUGAGUGACGGUAAUGGGUAAAGAAGCACCGGCUAACUACGUG